Molecule: long non-coding RNA, 707 nt
Organism: Notolabrus celidotus (New Zealand spotty)
Lineage: Eukaryota; Metazoa; Chordata; Actinopteri; Labriformes; Labridae
Exons: 2
Source: RefSeq, a predicted model, not a curated record
UUCAAAUAAGCUAAUGUAGCUUCUAUCACUCACAUUGUUUCUUCAAAUAAGCUAAUGUAACUAUUAUCACUCACAUUGUUUCUUCAAAUAAGCUAACGUAGCUUCUCUCACUCACAUUGUUUCUUCAAAUAAGCUAACGUAGCUUCUAUCACUCACAUUCAUCUGUAAUAUCAAAAAAUGAACUAACUAAGCUGUUACAACUAGCAUUGAACCAAACAUUUUCCAAAAUAAGCUAACAUAGAUUUAUAUUUCUCAAAUGAAACCUUUCUUUUUUCAUUUAUUGUGAGCUGAGUGUAGUGGAGGGGCAAUUGGACCAUGUGGGGUUUAGAAACCAAUCAGAAGCAGGCAUGAGGUGAUAAGUGGGCUGAUAGACAACAGGUGAGGCUGCAGCUUCUCGGACUCUGAAAACUCUCUGUGGCUCUGGGCUGGUGUGGCCUCCAUUUCCCAGCAUGACUGGGUUGCUGGGAGUUCACUCGCUGUAGACGUGCUUUUCUUUAUUAGUGUGGUGACUUAUUUUGAAGGUUUUUUUUGCUUUAUGUUCUAUGACGUAUGUUUAGGUUCCCCUUUUGGCACGGGUAGUAGCCUAUACUCUUCUUCUCAGUGGAUGGUCAGCUUCUCAGCCAUAGCACUCCUGUCUGUGCUCUUAUCAUUUCCUGCCUCUGUUUUAUUACCUUUAACACAUAAUAAAUGACAUGAUCCACACUGAG